Long non-coding RNA from Hyla sarda, 355 nucleotides. RefSeq lists it as uncharacterized. Lineage: Eukaryota; Metazoa; Chordata; Amphibia; Anura; Hylidae. The record is from RefSeq and is a predicted model, not a curated record. The transcript is spliced from 4 exons.
CUUCACACCUUGACAUUGGGUCCACAAGCUUCAGUAGGUGUUGUGCUCUGAGCAUAACACCUUCAGCUUCCAAGUCGAGAUAUUGAAGCAGGACCUGUGGCAAGUGACUUCCUGAACAUACUGAUCCUACUCCCACAUUUCAUCUCAAAAGUAGAAUGAAGAGACAAGAAGUUGGGGACUGGAAAGAGCAGCAAUAGGAACUGCAGGGGAUUCAUAGAUCCAGCCAAGAACUUCUGAGACGUACAGAAAAAAGUUGAGAUCCAAUGAGGCGGAGUUGUUGUCUGCUGUCCUGGCUUUAAAUGUGCAGAAAACAACUUUUAUAUAAGUCCCGCACUGCAUACUAAUAAACUGCAAG